ACUGCUCAGUAACACGUGGAUAACCUGCCCUUGGGUCCGGGAUAACCCCGGGAAACUGGGACUAAUACCGGAUAGAUCAAAGAUACUGGAAUGUUCUCUGGUCUAAAACUCCGGUGCCCAAGGAUGGGUCUGCGGCCUAUCAGGUUGUAGUGGGUGUAACGUACCUACUAGCCUACGACGGGUAAGGGUUGUGAGAGCAAGAUCCCUGAGAUGGAUUCUGAGACAUGAAUCCAGGCCCUACGGGGUGCAGCAGGCGCGAAACCUUUACACUGCGGGAAACCGCGAUAAGGGGACCCCGAGUGCCAGCACCUAGUGCUGGCUGUCCCGCUGUCCAAACAACAGUGGUUAGCAAGGGCCGGGCAAGACCGGUGCCAGCCGCCGCGGUAACACCGGCGGCCCGAGUGGUAGCCGCUAUUAUUGGGUUUAAAGGGCCCGUAGCCGGCCUAUUAAGUCUCUUGGGAAAUCUGGCGGCUUAAUCGUCAGGCGUCCAAGAGAUACUGGUAGGCUUGGGACCGGGAGAGGUGGGAGGUACUCCAGGGGUAGGGGUGAAAUCUCGUAAUCCUUGGGGGACCACCGAUGGCGAAGGCAUCCCACCAGAACGGGUCCGACGGUGAGGGACGAAAGCUGGGGGCACGAACCGGAUUAGAUACCCGGGUAGUCCCAGCUGUAAACGAUGCUCGCUAGGUGUCAGGUGCGGUGCGACCGCAUCUGGUGCCGCAGUGAAAACUUGAAGCGAGUCACCUGGGAAGUACGGUCGCAAGGCUGAAACUUAAAGGAAUUGGCGGGGGAGCAC
This 793-nucleotide ribosomal RNA is filed under the name uncultured archaeon. Its description in RNAcentral is "bacterial SSU rRNA". It matches the Rfam family "Archaeal small subunit ribosomal RNA", at positions 85 to 879 of the family's 1478-position model. The record is from RNAcentral.